AGAUCUCUCUCUCUGCGGAAGCCAGCCACCGCUCUCCAAGGACUCUCGAGCAGCUCCAUCUACAGAUUCACAUGGAGAAGAAUUAAGGGUUCCUGCCAAUCACCAGCACCACUUUGCCAGCCUUGUAAGUGGGCCACCUUGGAAUUGGAGCCUCCAGUUCCUACUGACAUCUGACUGCAACAUCAUGAGAGACCCUGAGUUUGAACCACCCAGCUGAGCUGCUUCUGAGCUAACCCACUGAAACCGUGAAAGUACCUGAAUGAAACAACACCCAGUAGCCACUAGCACACCUAGCUCCCAGAUCUGUUUUUGAUGCCAUUCUUCAGUAAAAGGAAGCAAGGCUGCUUGGAGAAAUUGCUAUCAAGGACUGGGGUAGAAAAUAUACAAGAUGAAAUUGGAGCAUCUUGUAGUGCUUGAAAUUGGCAUCUGUGUGAAGAUGUGAAUGGAGGAGGCAGAGUAGGCAGUGAGUGCCGCAGCCACAGCUUGUGUUCUCUGCAGCCCUGGCACAGAAGAUAGGAACACUCAUGGGGGAUGCGGCCACUGUGAUGUCUUCCCACACAAGAAGUGCCAAGUGCUUUUCUCAUGCUUUUCUGGAUUGUCCCAUGGUGGACGAGUCAGCAGGAGUGAGAUGGAGCAGCACAGUAGAGGGGUACCUGGCAAGGCCCGGAGGGAGGACCCCCUGCCCCAAACAUUUCAAUGAUAUCAGGUGACAGCCGUGAUCCUCUUAGCACCUGCUCUGUUUUGUCCCAGGCCAGGAUAUCGUUGUACAUAUUCUCAGCUAAGUGAGCACCAAUAGAGGAGAGGGAGAGUCUCAUGGAAGUUCCUUCUAAGCCUUUGGCUCUUUUUACCUUCAACAAGGUGUGCCACCUCUUUGAUCCAGCAAGUGGGAAGAACAGUCCCGGCCUCUUUGCACACAAGACCGUGAUACCAAUGCACCAUCACAGGCCCCACAGGGGAGCUGUCCGCUUCCCCACACAGCUGCUAGGGGCUCUUUUGCAUGUUCCCAACCUUUCCUGCCUUUAUCUGAUAUUCGUUCCUUAGAUCCUGGGAUGAGGAGGUGGACCAGCAGAAGGUGGGCUUGUGAAGGCAGCCCGGGGUCCAAAUCCUCCUGGCUCUUCAGCUUAGCGGGUUAGUUAACAUUCAGAAGCCUUCAUCUCCCAUCUGCAAAAUGGGCAUGUCCAACUCAGAAGCUGCCUUGAAGAAAGGGUCUACCCAGCAUGGUGCGUGGAGCCUAAGCAGUCAGUACUUCAGGACUUCACCCGGCCCCUUUCCAAUAACUGCUGCUGUCGCCCUCACAGGAUGUCACCUUCAGCGUCUGAAAGCUGGGUUUGAUGCGUCUGGAAAGGCGUCCCUGACAGGCGUCGUUGCCAGGAGCCCCUAGUGCCACCAGCAGCCAGCAGGGGAGGGCGUCCUCUGCCCGCUCACUUCUGACCCUUCUCUCGUUGCACCCGGAACAUGGUGCAGCUGGGAGCAGCCUGGGCUGCGCGGAAGGCUCAGAUUUGGGGACGGCCCUUGCCAGUGACUGUGAGCUGGGGUGUCUUGGAAACUCCCAGUCUCAGCUUCUCCAUUUAUAAGAUGAGAAUGAUCAUACCAGACUCAGGCAAGGUUGUUUGUGCAUUAGUGAAAUCAGACGUAUUAAAUAAAGUACCACAUUGAUCGUG
Long non-coding RNA from Homo sapiens (human), 1661 nucleotides. Ensembl annotates it as long intergenic non-protein coding RNA 658. Lineage: Eukaryota; Metazoa; Chordata; Mammalia; Primates; Hominidae. The record is from Ensembl.